UGGGGAAUUUUGGACAAUGGGCGAAAGCCUGAUCCAGCAAUGCCGCGUGUGUGAAGAAGGCCUUCGGGUUGUAAAGCACUUUUGUCCGGAAAGAAAUCCUUGGCUCUAAUACAGUCGGGGGAUGACGGUACCGGAAGAAUAAGCACCGGCUAACUACGUGCCAGCAGCCGCGGUAAUACGUAGGGUGCAAGCGUUAAUCGGAAUUACUGGGCGUAAAGCGUGCGCAGGCGGUUUGCUAAGACCGAUGUGAAAUCCCCGGGCUCAACCUGGGAACUGCAUUGGUGACUGGCAGGCUAGAGUAUGGCAGAGGGGGGUAGAAUUCCACGUGUAGCAGUGAAAUGCGUAGAGAUGUGGAGGAAUACCGAUGGCGAAGGCAGCCCCCUGGGCCAAUACUGACGCUCAUGCACGAAAAGCGUGGGGAGCAAACAGGAUUAGAUACCCUGGUAGUCCACGCCCUAAAACGAUGUCAACUAGUUGUUGGGGAUUCAUUUCCUAGUAACGUAGCUAACGCGUGAAGUUGACCGCCUGGGGAGUACGGUCGCAAGAUUAAAACUCAAAGGAAUUGACGGGGUCAUAGCUGUUUCCU
Molecule: ribosomal RNA, 586 nt
Filed under: uncultured bacterium
Lineage: Bacteria
Description: partial 16S ribosomal RNA
Rfam family: Bacterial small subunit ribosomal RNA
Source: RNAcentral